RNAcentral lists this long non-coding RNA (6336 nucleotides) under Sus scrofa (pig). Its description in RNAcentral is "lncRNA (ENSSSCG00005030636.1)". The record is from RNAcentral. Lineage: Eukaryota; Metazoa; Chordata; Mammalia; Artiodactyla; Suidae.
CAACAGACAUUUAGUUUUUCACAGUUCUGGAUGCUGGAAGGUUACCAAAGGGGAAAGGGGGAGAGAAAUUAGGAGUUUGGGAUUAACUGAUACACACUGCUGUAUGUAAAAUCAAUAAACAACAAGAAGCUACUAUGUAGCACAGGGAACUAUAUUCAAUAUGUUGUAGUGACCUAUAAUGAAAAGGAAUCUGAAAAAGAAUAUAUAUGCACAUAUCACUUUGCUGCACACCGAAACUAAUACAACAUUGUACAUCAACUAUACUUCAUCUUUUUUUGAAGGACACUAAUCCUAACAAAUCAGGGCCCUGCCUUUGUGACUGCAUUUAGCCUUAAUUACCUCAUUAGAGGCCACACUGGAGGUUACAGCUUCAAUGUAUGAAUUUGGAAGGGCACAAACAUUCAGUCUAUAACAAUAGACAAGCCUCAACAGCCCCGACAUGUCCUGGGUUUUUCAGGAGGCUGUCUCAAAAAUUAGAGAUAUUUUUUUUUUGUCUUUUUAGGGGUGCACCCAUGGCAUACGGUGGUUCCCAAGUUCAGGGUCCAAUCAGAGCUGUAGCUGCCGGCCACAGCAACAUGGGAUCUGAGCCAAGUCUGCAACCUACAUGGCAGCUCAUGGCAAUGGCAACGCCAGAUCCUUAACCCACUGAGCAAGGCCAGGGAUCGAACCCAAAUCUUCAAGGAGUCCAGUCGAGUUCGUUAACCACUAAACCAUGAUCCACGAUUAGAGUUCUCAAUUUCUACAUGUCAUUACCACCUCCAGACUAUUACUCAGGAACAGGUCCUCUCUGUGGCUCACAGAGUUUCCGGAAAGAGAGGAAAAAAAAAAAAAGAACUAUUGUACUAUUCCAUGACUCGGAGUUGCAAGCAUGUUCAACUAUGCCUCUUCCUUCACCCUGUCACAGAGUGCAGGUCCCAGUGGAAAUUAAUGAGGAGCCCUACUCUAGAGUUAACUGUACUAAUGUUUUGAAAACACAUAUUUCGAAGAGCAAACUCCCAAUUGACCAAACCGUUAAUACCUGCUUCUCAGAAAAUACCAAUCACGAUAGAAACUGAGGUUUGGUAAUACGCAUUCUGCACUAAAAUAUUGCUAUUCCUUCGGCAAUUAAAGGUGUACACCAACACAAUAAAGUUUUAAGGUGAUUUAAUUCAGUAACACACAGUCUUAUGAAUAAAAAUUAUUGACUUUCACUUAGCCCUAUUUAAUUAUUAAACUCAUUGCUAUAAAAUUAGCUUAUUGAGUUAUUAUUUCAUACAAGACUGAUAUAUAUUUCAGAUCAUUCUCCAUUUUACAAAAUAACUCUUUUCACAUAUUUGUAUCACUUUACAAGUAUUUCUUUAACAUUCAUUGAAUUACUGACUUUUAUAUAUUUAAAGAUUAAUUUUGCUUAGAUAACUUGUGAAGAACAAUUGGAAUUUCUGUUUCUAGAAAUAGUUUGAUUCACAUUAAUUAUAAUAAUGACUUACAUCAAUGUUAAAGAAAAAUAUUGAACAUUAUUUUGCAUUUGUAGUUCCAUUGUGUCUUUAAUGAAUUUCUAAAGUCAUAGUACCUAAAUAGAAUUUCACAAGGUACUGGGACCAUUUAAUAUAGAAAUAAAUUUACUUUUGUAUUGAAUUUUUAUUAAGCGUCUAUGGCUCAGAUUUUAUGUAAGAGAAUUCCUUGAACUAUGGAUUUCCAUGUUUUACAUACUAAAGUGACACCUAUGGAUAGAGAGCAAAUGAAUGUGCUAUUUAUAAUAAUGACUUUGUUUUAGAUAGAGUUACAUAAUACAUUUAUAUGACUUUAUUAUGUGAGUGGUUUAGAAGUGUCUUGUGUUCCUUUUACUUUGCUUGUUUUUAAUAAACUAUGUGUGUGAGAGUCUGCGUGUGUUCAUGUAUUUUUAUCUUCUCAAGUAUUACCUAAUAGCAUUACAAGAUAUAUAGUGAUAAAAAUGUGCCUUAUAUUUAGUCAAUUCACAUUUCUUUAUGUAUACUUUAGGAAUAUUUGUUUUAAAAUGAUAUUCAACUUUUUUUGACAUAUUCAAGUAUAGGAAAGAAAAGUUUAAUGAAAGAUAUCGUGGAACGAUUUAUGUGCAAAGAGUUUAGAAGUUAAUUUUGCUUUAUUGACCAAAAUAAAAUGAGGAAACAAAGAUUUACUAGGGUCAAGAUAUUAAUUGGAACAGAAAAUAUAACUCUUUAUUCUGAAAUGCACCUGCAUGUUAACAACAGUUUGAAAAUCUGAAGCACAGAUUUUAAAUGAAUGUACAAUGAAAUUUUAAACUUUUUUAUUCCCCGUAAAAUCAUUUUCAAGGUGAAAUGGAAGUUAAGUACAUUUAAAGACUUUUGGAGCAGAAAAUAGAUUUACUUCAGGUGGUACUGGGUAAACUUUCAGUUUGUAAUGAAAUAGAUAUUCUUUACUAUUCAUGAUAAGGGUGAAUAAAAAUGAAGCACUUAGUUUAAAAAAAUAAACUGGAAAGAAUGUAACACUUUCACUCCUUAGGUUCUUAAGUCAUUUUUUUUUGUUGUUGUUGUUCUUUUGUUCUGUAAUUGAUUGCUAGCACCCCCUUUAACCCACCUUAAAGGGCAGCAGGAAAUUCAUGUUUUCGUUCAUCAGCCCAUCCCUCUGAAAGGCGUUCGAUAUUAAAACAGUUUGCAGGGAGCAAAAGCAGAGGAAACAAGAGGCCCAGCUAGCCUGUAGCAAGGUUAGAAGAUACACUGCAAGAUUGCCUGCAACAUUGCAUCGAGUCUUGUUCCUGUCCAGUAUUUGCAUGGAGAGAUCAAGUUAAUUAGGGUAUGACUGUUCUUCACUUUCUAUGUGACCUUUUAUUCUAUCUGUGGCUCUCUAGUUCAUGCGGUGUCAUAAAGCUAUGGGAAAGUCUUUCUAGCUGUUUGACACAAACUGGAAAAAAUUAAGCAUUGAUAUUUCCUUUUGCCUGAAGGUUUUUACAGCAGCAAAUUACUGCAGCGGCAAAGUUGAUGUUGUGGUAGAUUUGCUGUGGGUGUCAGAAUGUUUCUUUUGUCUUUUUAGCUCCCCGCCUUCCCUGAUGAUCAGGUGCGACCAAGAGAGUUGUGCAGAGAGGUGGGGGUGGGGGAGGGGGUUCAGGAAGAGGUUACAUGGCAGAAUUCCCACGAAUGCUGGCGAAGGAUGAAAAAGAUAAAGAAAUCUUGUUUUUCUGAACUAGAGGAUUCUCUGCAUGACUUCCCCACUGUUGGGGUGAUGAGCUUUCAGGCUAAGAUUUUAUUAACAAUUCAUAUGGAGAUUGAGGGCAGCGGAGGAGCAGAUUCUCACAUAAACUUGAUCUGUCCAUGAAUGCUGUUCUCUGUUUGCCCUGACCCUGCAUGGCUUAAGACACUGCCUGUGAGGCCAGUGUGCCAGACACAAAGAAAGAAAUGAAAAGCAAGCACAUUCCAGGAGUCUGCACAAAAGACCCAGCAGUUUCUAGUCGUCUCCCCAGAGAGGAUCUUAUCUCUGCAUGGCCAAAAACCUCUAGAAUGUUUUCAUUUGUGUACCCAAAGUUUUAAAAUUGACAUGGCCGUUUAUUAGGCAGUAGCCUAUAGCCCUGUUUUCUUAGGUUUUAAAGUUUUGUUCUCAGAACUUGUUGAAACUAGAAAAACAUAUGCAAGGGUGCAUUUUGUGAAGUUUGGCUUUAAAAGUCACUGGCCUUGAAUUGUUUUUACUUUGUUGAUUGGUAGGUACCUUGAAAAAUGAAUCCUUUUCAGCUUUAAGAGAAGCCAGAACAACAUUUUAAAGCUUGACUUGACUUCAUGAUGCCUUAUGACACUGCAACUCUGAAACUUGUGGCAGAGUUAAGGCGUGAGAUGAAAUUGACAUGGGGGCGCAAGCCAGCCACCCCCAUGCUCCUGAGCACAGACAACCUAGCUACAUUAAAGAAAGAAGCAAGUGAAAAGUUUGAGUGAGACAAAAGUGCAAGGGAGUCAGGGACUUUUAACGUUGUAAUAUUUCAGCAAUUAUUGGCAGUUCACUAUUUUAUCUAGAUGCAUUAAAACAGGAUCAUAACAAACUAUCACAAGAUAUUUCUUUGUAAUUUAAUAUACUACAUUUUAUCACCUAACAAAUGCACAUUCCAGGUGUCAGAUAUAUUAAAGUUUGGGGAUAAAUAUUUGAUAAACAUAAUUAAUUCGGUUGCUAAAUUACGUGUUUCCACAGAUUCUUAAAAAUCGGAAAAUCCAGAUACACAGACUCUUGAAUUUUGUGUAUGUGUUUAGCUGUUCAAGUUGUUUCAAACUUUUAUAGUUCAUGAAUUAAAUAACCAGUAGAGGAAUGCAGGCAAAUGCUAUUAAUUAUGAUAGGCUUUGUUCCUUUCAUUUUAUAAUGGUUUUAUUUCCAUGAAAUUAACUGUUGUACUUAGGCUAAUUGUCAGUAAUUGGUGACAGAAUCACUUCAUUGUUUUUCUAUAGCAUGAUACUAAUUAGGAUCUUUGCAGUAUUGGCUCAGCCAUGUUCUAUAUUCUACCUUCUAUAUUGAAUCAUUGGUACAUAAAAUCAAGUGCAACUUUAAAAAAAAUCCAUUAGAUAAAAUGUUUCUAUUAAUAAUUAAAUCUUUUAAACAGCUAGUUGUAAAUUAAUUUUAAAAUAUUGAAAUAGAAGGAAGCUUUAUUAUAGAUUUGUUGGGUUCAUGAAACAUCAAUUGAUCUUUCGGAUUUGAAUUGAAUCCAGUGGAAUCAUCCUUAAAAUAUCACAGCUGUAAUUCCAACUCCUGAGCCACAUGCAUUUUUAUUAUUCUGUUUGUGUCUGCAACAUUGAAAUUAGCACUGCUAAAGUGUUUUGGUAAGGUAUCACAGGACUGGAUCCAUUGUCUUUCUUUUCAUGCCUGAUAGAGAUAUCAUAAAAUAUAGCAUAUUUUUGUUUGUUUUCUAACUAGUUUUUUUUUUGCCACAAGAAAAUGGUUUUUGAAGCACUUAUAUUUCAAAUGAAAAUAUAUAUGAAUAGUUGUGAUUAUAAGAGCUUAGUUUUAUGCUUUGCUUUUAAAUUUAGAAGAUUGUGUUCCAUGUGGUUGACAGGUUAUAAAAAGAGAAAAUGAGAGAAUAUUCUAUUUUGUGAAGUGAGGUUUAAUGCCGAUGGGAGAAAAUAUUACAACUCUGUAUAUCCUAUUAAAACAAUCACAGUCAAUACUACUUUGCUCAUUUUUAAAAGAAUUCUUCUCAUCCAAUUCACCUGUGAUCUGUAUGAAUUUGUAAGUUAUGGAAGUUUUCUAAUAGUUUGAGGUAUAGCCUCCUUGCUUCUUUUCCUUGUUCUAUGGUACUUUUACCAAUCCGGUGCAUUUUGCAGUUUACAGUGAACUCAGUUUGUUUUAAAAGCAACCAUAAUGUAUAACUUAGAGCUUAGUGCCUCACAGUUCUGAAAAAAGUUUUUAAGAAGUGAUUAGGAAAAUAAUUGCCUAUUAAAAGGUGAAGAUUGGUUUAAGCAGGGAGAGAAGAAACUGAACUCUGAAAUUGAAAGCAUUCAUUGUUAGCAUGACACAUAUGCACCAAAUCUGAAAUUAAAGAAAACUCACGAAAUACGUAUCUUGGCAAGGGGAAUUGUUUAAAUUUUCUAAAGCUGUCAGCCCAUUUUCUGUUUUUUUGUUUUUUUUUUUUUUUUCUUUUUCUGUUCAAGAACAACUUCAAAAGGAAAGCUUCACCUUUUGUACAAAGUUGAAAUGUUUUAUUAUUGCAGGAUCGUUCUACACUGUACAAAAACAGAACAAUUCAAUAGCUGGGGUUGGGGGGGGGCACCAAUGAGAAUCUUUCUAUCAUUUUAGAAAGUCCAUAGCAAAGCACAAAAACUAUAAAAAUCUAUGAUUGUUUCCUUAAAAAGAGAAUCUUUUGAUUUACAGCAGUUAUUUGAAUACCCAUUCGGGCUCUUUUGUAAUGUGUUGGAAUAAAUGCACUUCUCCUAAAUGAAGAAUACUCAUGAGGGGGCAGAAUUCCAACAUAAACUAUGUUUAGAUGCUGUAUCUCAAUAGGUGACCCCAUAACAUUAAACAAAGGUUCUUUUUCUCUUCUCUCUGUUUUGUUCUCUGGAAAAUAAAUUCCUCAAAGCAAAAUUCAGUUUGUUCCUUUUUCACCCUAUUGGCAGAUAUGCAAUAUAUCCUCUGUCUCUUAUCAAAUAUACAGAUUAUGAAAAAUAGACAAGGUCAAAACGGACUUUUAGGUUUAAAAAUGAGAAAGUAUUCUAAAAGUUACUUUGGGAAGAUCUUUUUUUCUUUUUUAUUCAUCCUGCCUUAUAGACUCUGGAGUGUACAAUGCAACGGGGGUUUUCUUUCUUGAGGAUUCGAAGUGUACACGGAAAACACAAGAGAGGAAAUGGGACUCUGGUAAUACCGUGAGCCACAUCCAUGGGCAUUUAAAUCCUAUAG